This is a non-coding RNA of Lepisosteus oculatus (spotted gar), 1150 nucleotides long. The record is from RefSeq and is a predicted model, not a curated record. Lineage: Eukaryota; Metazoa; Chordata; Actinopteri; Semionotiformes; Lepisosteidae.
UCCCGGGUUCGAGCCCCCGACGGUGCGGGGCCGACCCGUUGCGUUACAAUAUAUUUAUAUAUUAAUAAACACGCACACCAAGGGUGUAAAGAUUCGACCCGUCAGUCGAGCCUCGUGUUCGAACCUGCAACUUGACGAACAAGACCACUGUUGCCCCUUUUUAUGCAAAGCCCACUCGUUCACCUGAAAACGCACCAGGGUGUUUUUUAAGGGGCACUUUUAAGGGCCGGUAGUAAAUGAGACAUCCGGGAAGCCCCAUUGGAAAGUCCACCGGACCGCGGCAAUAUUGGAAACAUAUUUUUUAUUUUCACAUAACAGAAGUAUGCAUAUAUCUGAAUUCUUUAAUAAACCGUCAUUACCCGCGUGUUUGUAUUUACAGGGGUCUUAUGCGCAAACAUGAAGCGAUGAGCUCACACUCCUUUUAUCUCUGUGUUUCCGGCCAGUCCUUGGUGUAGGACACAGCGUGAGGGCACACCUGCCCUCUGAAGACACAGGUAUGGCUGCCUGUGUUACAUCCUCAGGUGAAGUCGAGUCUUCUGCAGUCUGCAAUGUACUGACCCAGACAGGUCCUGCUCCACGAAGUUGCCCACCUGCCUGUCGCACAGCACCAAAGACGAAACUCACCGCAAUCGUUUGUGCCGGCUUGUGUCGCUGGUGCGAGCUCAACUGUAACAGCGCUUGAACUGGGCAGACGGGGUCACUGGAGGUCAAAGUCACCGUGCGUGGUCAGGUGAUCACCGGGAAAACAAGGCGCUAUAUCUCGGAAACGAGAGCAGCACAAACGCUACUUUCAACGGCACAACCGUAGCACUAACGAAUGAGGUGGGUUUCAUCGUUUGUGCUGUCUGUAGGGGGGCAACCUCACGGAGCUUCUACCUGCCUUUAAAUAUUCAGCGGACUUGAGCACAACAUACCCGAAGAACGUGCAGGCGGGUGUGGCUUUCAGAGGUCGGAGUAAACGCAUCGCCCCGAGGGUACUACCGAGUGAGGCGCCACGAGAAUAAAAACUGCGAAGGCGCCAUAUGAAAUAAAGUUGAUCACCGUCAUUGGACGCGGAGGGAGGAAGGAACCCGCCUACCGGCCCGCCUUCUCGCCAAUCGGCUUAUGAAACGUCACGAAGGACCCGCCCAUCCCAUGGGGGGGGGGGAGC